UACGUAGGUGGCAAGCGUUGUCCGGAUUUACUGGGCGUAAAGAGCGCGCAGGCGGUCGUUCAAGUCGCGUGUGAAAUCUCCCGGCUCAACUGGGAAACUGCAUCGGAAACUGAUCGGCUUGAAGAUGGGAGAGGGUAGUGGAAUUCCCGGUGUAGUGGUGAAAUGCGUAGAUAUCGGGAGGAACACCAGUGGCGAAGGCGACUACCUGGCCCAUUCUUGACGCUGAGGCGCGAAAGCUAGGGGAGCAAACGGG
This 253-nucleotide ribosomal RNA is filed under the name uncultured bacterium. Its description in RNAcentral is "partial 16S ribosomal RNA". It matches the Rfam family "Bacterial small subunit ribosomal RNA", at positions 524 to 776 of the family's 1533-position model. The record is from RNAcentral.